CUUCAGUGUAAACAAAGAUGGCAGAUUUCGAUGCCAUCAACACAAUCGAGAGAGAUGACGAAGACAAUUCCUCCUCAUCCCUGGAGUCCUACACGCAGACGCCCGAGCCAGUCAUCAUUAGAGGCGCGGGCAACAUCACAGUGUUUGGACUUAGUAAUCGUUUCUGCCGCGACUUCCCGAGUGCUCUGACAGGAAGGUUGGCCCCAGAGGAGUUUGCCGGGUCAGUGGGGCGGGUCAACACUGUGCUGCGGAAGACCCUGCCUGUGUCUGCCCGCUGGCUCCUCUGUGGCUGCUGCUUCUGCCUCUGUACCUGCGGCUGUUCCCUCUGGCCCGUCAUCUGCCUCAGUAAACGGACGAGAAAUGCAAUAGAGAAGACUUUAGAGGCGGAAAACACCAACCUAUACCACAAGCUUGGCCUUCACUGGAGACUCACUAGACAGAGAUGUGAUAAUUCCUCCCUCAUGGAAUAUGUGUUGGUGAUUGAAGUGAUACCCAAAAAAGACAUUCUACGGCCGGACUGACGGAGCGGGGCGGCCUUGUACCCCAGGCUGCUGCUCACUGACGCCGGGACCCCCACCCACCCCCUCCCCCUCUCGGCUGUCUAGUCCUGUGAUCAGCUGUGAGUCAUGUUCUGUAAGGCCAUGAGCUGAUCAGGAUGUCAGACUGAAGGAAGUGAAAGCACUGAUGGUGAGUGUUGCUGUGCUUCCACCCAUGACUAGCCUGGCCCUCAGUGACAGCCGAGGACACGACCGCUUCGCCGACGCACUGUUCUCGCUGCCCUGGUCUGGUGCAACUGUGUGUAGUGUGCCAAGCUGAUUCAGUCACAAGAUUUGCUUACAUUGUACACUUAGGGUCGGAGGCGGAGCAGCAGAUGGCGCUCACUGUCACUGUGUUGAGUGCUGUCCUGCGUCCCGAGGCCCUGGGCUGGCAGGUGUAUGUGGUGAGGCGCUGUGAGGGUGCGGGUGUGUGGGUGUGGCAGGUCUGGGGCUAAGGGAAGCAUGCAGGACACAGUGGAGUGAAUGCCUUGCUGUGGUGACUUCUGGCCCUGACUGUACCUUUGAAAUGCAUGUCAAGUUCACAAAUAAGAUAUAUAUACCUAUAUGCAUAUAUAGAUAUAUGUGUUUGUGUAUAAUAUGUAUACAUGUAUACAUGCAUCUAUGCCUGUGUACAUAUUACACACACAACAGUCUGUACUAUGGGUUCUAUAUCCUAGUCAUCCCAAGUGCUAUUGAAUAAUAUUGCCUUUAGACAUUUUUUUACUCUAGUUUAUGCUUAAGUGCUGUGUUCACUGAGCACUGGAUAUCACCUUUCUUUGUGCACCUCCACCACUGUACCGUAAGACUGCCGUGUCUCAAGCACCGCCGGGCACAAGAGGCUCCCAGGACGAGGGGGACCACCGCUGGCACAAAGACAAAGACGGCAGGAGUGUGUGUGUCUUAGUGGAGCCCCGCCCAGCCCACCCCAGCCCUGUCAUGACUGUGUGGUGAUGCUGGUGCCAUACCUGGGCCUCCACAGCACUCAGUCAACCCCAGGAGUGUGUCUGUCCUGAGGGAGCCAAUGUUACUCAUGAUAUUUCUAAAUUUUAGGGACGGUAUUCACCCCAGAGGCUCUUUUUGCUUCUCUUCUUAUCAACACAACUCCUGGUUUUAUGUAUAGUCUUGUUUUUUGUCUCCUGUUUAUAGGCAUAGUUUGUGUGUCUUGUUUUUGUUGUAGCAGUGAUGGUUGGGGUGGUGAAGGUGUGUGGUGAGACAGUUACUAGUGCUCUGGAGGGAAAGAUGUGCAGUAAGUCAUAGGAAGAGGGAUGUGCAGUGUGCCAUGUCAGAAACGUGUGCACUUCAUAGAAAGAUGUGCACUCUGUCAUGUCAAAGGAAGAUUUGCACUGUGUCAUGUCAUAGGAAGACGUGCAGUGUGUCAUAUCAUAGGAAUGGAGAUGUGCAGUGUGUCAUGUUAGAGAAAGAUGUGCACUGGGUCAUGUCAGAAACGUUCACAAUUUGAGGUAGACAUGAAGACAAGGAUGCAAAUUGUAGGACCAUGUGACUUGUGGGAGAUACACUCUUAGGAAGAAAAAUAUAUUGAGGAAAAUAGAACUGGAAAAAAAAAACUACAUUACGAAAAUCAUUAGAACUCAGUGUAAGAACAAAAAAAGUGCAAUUUGAGUAGUAAUCUAGCAAUGUACAUAAGAGAAGAUACAAUUAGGGAGACAAUUCGACACAUAGAUACAAAGAUACGUAAUAGAUAUGGGAAAAAAAAAACGCAAACUUAGCAAAUCUAGUCACACAAUUGGAGACAUAAUGAAAGUAAAGUUGCCUCAAGGUCACAAGAAGAGGAGGAGGAAGGCAAUUGUGCCUGUACCAUCACUGUUUUGUACCAUCACUAUUGUACCAUUUGUUUUGUACCAUUUUAUCUUUUAUUUUUCUAGGUAUAAAUGACAGCUAUUUCUCGUUUAUAUUGUUAUUUUUUAUUAUUUCAGCGUUUUUUUUAUCGGUGUGUUAGUUUACAUAGUGACUUAGUGAGCUUGUUAUGUAUAAUAUGUGUACUGUUUGUGUUUUUCAUUUAAAGCAUUUACGAGACUGAUACUAGACACUCUCUCUCUCUCUCUCUCUCUCUCUCUCUCUCUCUCUCUCUCUCUCUCUCUCUCUCUCUCUCUCUCUCUCUCUCUCUCUCUCUCUCUCUCUCUCUUAGUUCAUUGAUUUGUUUAGGAAAGAACCCAAUAUUUUUAUACACACAAGUUUUAGCGCGUUAAGUAAAGCAUUUACUCGUUACAUUGAUGCUCUUUUGUCUUUCUCUGGAGGUUUUACUGUUAAUCCUAAGAAUCAGUGCAAAUUAUAGGCAUUUCUUACAUAAAAAAACACCCGUAGAAGGUUGCCUAAUUUACAAGAGAUGUACAAUUAUAUAUAUUAGAGACUUAAAAAUAUAUAUAUAUAAAAAAAGAAAGUGUGAUUGUAUAGAGAUUAAAGAAAUCACUUAUUAACCUGUAAAGAUAAAAAAAAUCUGUUGUAGCAUUUAUUUUUCUAAUUGGCCGCAGUGUUAAUUGGAGAGAGAGAGAGAGAGAGAGAAUAAUAAUAAUGGUAAUAUAAUACAACUAAACGAGACAUCCGUGAAUCAAGGUAUAUCUGUACAUAUAUAUUAUAAUGACUAGAGGAUGUUGCUUUGUCAUUUUUGUAUUAUAACAGGGAAGUAUGUGAACCACAGUAGCCAUUGAAUAAAAAUAAAUAAAUAA
Molecule: RNA transcript, 3220 nt
Organism: Portunus trituberculatus (swimming crab)
Lineage: Eukaryota; Metazoa; Arthropoda; Malacostraca; Decapoda; Portunidae
Gene name: cysteine-rich hydrophobic domain-containing protein 2-like
Exons: 5
Source: RefSeq, a predicted model, not a curated record